UACCCCCUGGGACGCGCGUGAUGCUUCGUUCACUGCAGGCCUCACAAGCAUUCAAAUAGGGUGACAACGACGGACUGGUGUGCAUGCCCCGUAAAAAGGGAAGCCUGAAGGGCCGUACUCGUCGCCCACCGUAGGCGCCAGGCCCUGCGGAGAACUAUGCACACGUCGUCCUGGGGUGCAG
This 181-nucleotide non-coding RNA is filed under the name Desulfovibrio sp. OttesenSCG-928-I05. Its description in RNAcentral is "6S RNA". It matches the Rfam family "6S / SsrS RNA". From Rfam's summary of the family: E. coli 6S RNA was the first non coding RNA to be sequenced, but its function was unknown until recently. It consists of 184 nucleotides that fold into an extended hairpin structure with a large single-stranded internal bulge. The record is from RNAcentral. Lineage: Bacteria; Pseudomonadati; Thermodesulfobacteriota; Desulfovibrionia; Desulfovibrionales; Desulfovibrionaceae.